UACGAAGGGAGCUAGCGUUACUCGGAAUAAUCGGGCGUAAAGCGUGUGAAGGUUGUUUUUAUUUACAUAUACUAAAAGAUAAAGGAUGUAAGCUUUUAUAAUGUAUAUUUGAUUAUAUUACUCGAGUUUAGAAUAAGAUAGUCGUACUUCUAGUUUAGGGUUAAAAUCUACUGAGAUUAGAAAGACGGUCAUUAGGUGUAGACUACUAUCUAUGAUAAAACUGACACUGAAGCACAAAAGUAUGGGGAGCGAAUAGGAUUAGAUACCCUAGUAGUCCAUACCCUGACCUAUGAGUGUUGGAUGUAAGAGUAAAAUUUUGUAUCUAAGUUAACGCGUAAACACUCCGCCUGGGCAGUACGAUCGCAAGGUUGAAACUCAAAGGAAUUGACGGAGAUCAGCACAUGCGGUGGAACAUGUGAUUCAAUGCGUAAGUACGCGCAAACCUUACCUAUUCUUGUUUACUACUUAUUUAGCUUUAUAUGUCUGUAGUAGUAAUCAGGUGCUGCAUGGUUGUCGUAAGUCCGUGUUGAGAAAUGUUAGGUUAAUUCCCUGAACGGACGCAACCCUUACUUCUAUUGUUUAAAUGUAAAAUUUAUUAAUUGAAGUUACUGCUUAUUUUAAAUAAGAGGAAGCAGGGGAGUAAGUCAAAUCUUCAUGGCCUUUAUGCUUAGGGCUAUCCACGUGUUACAAUGGUUAUUACAAAAAGAAGCAAAAAAGUGAUUUUUAGCAUAUCUUAUAAAAAUGAACCGUAGUUCGGAUUGUUUUCUGGAACUUGAAAACAUGAAAUAGGAAUCGCAAGUAAUCGUAAACGAGUACGUUACGGUGAAACGUAAAACUGGUCU
Molecule: ribosomal RNA, 842 nt
Filed under: uncultured eukaryote
Lineage: Eukaryota
Description: bacterial SSU rRNA
Rfam family: Bacterial small subunit ribosomal RNA
Source: RNAcentral